UUCGUAGGCGGGCUAAUAAGUCAGUGGUGAAAUCUCUCGGCUCAACCGGGAAACUGCCAUUGAUACUGUUAGUCUUGAGUUCGGUUGAGGUAGGCGGAAUGUGUAAUGUAGCGGUGAAAUGCUUAGAUAUUACACAGAACACCAAUUGCGUAGGCAGCUUACUAGACCGACACUGACGCUGAGGCACGAAAGCGUGGGGAGCGAACAGGAUUAGAUACCCUGGUAGUCC
RNAcentral lists this ribosomal RNA (229 nucleotides) under uncultured bacterium. RNAcentral describes it as "partial 16S ribosomal RNA". It matches the Rfam family "Bacterial small subunit ribosomal RNA", at positions 568 to 796 of the family's 1533-position model. The record is from RNAcentral.